RNAcentral lists this ribosomal RNA (253 nucleotides) under uncultured bacterium. Its description in RNAcentral is "partial 16S ribosomal RNA". It matches the Rfam family "Bacterial small subunit ribosomal RNA", at positions 524 to 776 of the family's 1533-position model. The record is from RNAcentral.
UACGAAGGGGGCUAGCGUUGUUCGGAAUUACUGGGCGUAAAGCGCACGUAGGCGGAUAUUUAAGUCAGGGGUGAAAUCCCAGAGCUCAACUCUGGAACUGCCUUUGAUACUGGGUAUCUUGAGUAUGGAAGAGGUAAGUGGAAUUGCGAGUGUAGAGGUGAAAUUCGUAGAUAUUCGCAGGAACACCGGUGGCGAAGGCGGCGAUCUGGACGAUGACUGACGCUGAGACGCGAAAGCGUGGGGAGCAAACAGG